CAGUAGCCACGGUAAUACGUAGGUGGCAAGCGUUGUCCGGAAUUAUUGGGCGUAAAGGGCUCGCAGGCGGUUUCUUAAGUCUGAUGUGAAAGCCCCCGGCUCAACCGGGGAGGGUCAUUGGAAACUGGGAAACUUGAGUGCAGAAGAGGAGAGUGGAAUUCCACGUGUAGCGGUGAAAUGCGUAGAGAUGUGGAGGAACACCAGUGGCGAAGACGACUCUCUGGUCUGUAACUGACGCUGAGGAGCGAAGGCGUGGGGAGCGAACAGGAUUAGAUACCCCUGUAGUCCCUGUCUCUUAUAC
This 301-nucleotide ribosomal RNA is filed under the name uncultured bacterium. RNAcentral describes it as "partial 16S ribosomal RNA". It matches the Rfam family "Bacterial small subunit ribosomal RNA", at positions 509 to 807 of the family's 1533-position model. The record is from RNAcentral.